GGUGGGAUACCCAAGUGGCCAACGGGGGCAGACUGUAAAUCUGCUGGCUUUCGCCUUCGGAGGUUCGAAUCCUCCUCCCACCA
This 83-nucleotide transfer RNA is filed under the name Nitratiruptor sp. YY09-18. RNAcentral describes it as "tRNA-Tyr". It matches the Rfam family "tRNA". Rfam says of the family: Transfer RNA (tRNA) molecules are approximately 80 nucleotides in length. Their secondary structure includes four short double-helical elements and three loops (D, anti-codon, and T loops). The record is from RNAcentral. Lineage: Bacteria; Pseudomonadati; Campylobacterota; Epsilonproteobacteria; Nautiliales; Nitratiruptoraceae.